Molecule: non-coding RNA, 74 nt
Organism: Pangasius djambal
Lineage: Eukaryota; Metazoa; Chordata; Actinopteri; Siluriformes; Pangasiidae
Source: the annotation of a GenBank genome assembly
GGCAGUGGUGGUUCAGUGGGUAAAAUGUUGGACUACUGAUCAGAUGAUCUUGAGUUCAAAUCCGAACACCGCCC